UCCCUGGUGGUCCAGUGGCUAGGACUCAGCGCUUGCACUGCCGAGGGCCUGGGUUCGAUCCCUAGCCAGGAAA
Non-coding RNA from Balaenoptera ricei (Rice's whale), 73 nucleotides. Lineage: Eukaryota; Metazoa; Chordata; Mammalia; Artiodactyla; Balaenopteridae. The record is from the annotation of a RefSeq genome assembly.